AAUGCGACUUGUUGCAGUUGUAUUGACAUGCCUUAUCGCUUGUACUUUGGGUUUGAACCACAGUUUUACCGUUGAUUACACCAAUGCUACAUUUCUUCAAGAUGGCAAGCCCUUUCGCUAUAUCUCAGGGAGUCUGCACUACUCUCGAGUACAUCCAUAUUACUGGAAAGACAGAUUGACAAAGAUGAGGGUAUCGGGACUAAAUACUGUACAGACUUAUGUCCCCUGGAACAUUCACGAGGCAACCCCUAGGAGA
Molecule: long non-coding RNA, 256 nt
Organism: Haliotis rubra (blacklip abalone)
Lineage: Eukaryota; Metazoa; Mollusca; Gastropoda; Lepetellida; Haliotidae
Exons: 3
Source: RefSeq, a predicted model, not a curated record